UGGGGAAUAUUGGACAAUGGGCGCAAGCCUGAUCCAGCAAUGCCGCGUGUGUGAAGAAGGCCUUCGGGUUGUAAAGCACUUUUAUCAGGAGCGAAACGCUGUCGGCUAAUACCCGGCGGAACUGACGGUACCUGAGGAAUAAGCACCGGCUAACUUCGUGCCAGCAGCCGCGGUAAUACGAAGGGUGCAAGCGUUAAUCGGAAUUACUGGGCGUAAAGCGUGCGUAGGCGGUUUCUUAAGUCUGCUGUGAAAUCCCCGGGCUCAACCUGGGAAUGGCAGUGGAUACUGGGAGGCUAGAGUGUGUCAGAGGGUGGUGGAAUUCCCGGUGUAGCGGUGAAAUGCGUAGAGAUCGGGAGGAACAUCAGUGGCGAAGGCGGCCACCUGGGACAACACUGACGCUGAGGCACGAAAGCGUGGGGAGCAAACAGGAUUAGAUACCCUGGUAGUCCACGCCCUAAAGCGAUGCGAACUGGAUGUUGGUCUCAACUCGGAGAUCAGUGUCGAAGCUAACGCGUUAAGUUCGCCGCCUGGGGAGUACGGUCGCAAGACUGGAAACUUAAAUGAAUUGAC
RNAcentral lists this ribosomal RNA (570 nucleotides) under uncultured bacterium. RNAcentral describes it as "partial 16S ribosomal RNA". It matches the Rfam family "Bacterial small subunit ribosomal RNA", at positions 355 to 914 of the family's 1533-position model. The record is from RNAcentral.